GGACAGAAGGCAACUGCUGACCAGAGCACCUAACUGUUGCAGAAAGUGGAAAAGACAGGCAAUCAAUCACUUGUGGGGUGCCCAAGCCCCAUCAAAUAUUUUAGAUGCCCGGCACCCCGCAGUAACAGUCUCCUUACCAGAUGCAGAAGGGAAAAAAAACCCCAAAGAAUAAAAAGAGAACAGGGAAAUUCUUGAGAUUCUUUCCAAUGGAAAAAAUGCCUCCACUUAUCACUCAGUGUCAACAGCAGCAGACACCUGUGUUUAAACACCCAGCCACAGCGGCAAGCCAAAAGGCCAGCUCUGACGUGACAGCGCUGGAUUUUGGAUGUCAGAAGAUUAACUGAUGCUGAGCAUGUGCUGGUCAGUGUUGCAGAGACAGCACUGUGCAGCUUCCACCAUGUGGGAGGUUAAGUGUGAAAUGCUGAGUGUCUUCUCCCGUUCACCCUCAAGGUGAUGAGCAAGGAGCAGAUCAGCUGAGGAGGAACAAAGGAACACGUAGAGACAAGGAGAUGUGUUUUCACACUGUUUCUCAGCUGAGAUUGGAGGAGAAAGAGCAGAGCCCGAGCUUUUGUGUAACGUGGUGAUCUGUCAAGAGCAGUGGCAGCUGGGAACUGCAUGGCUCAGGAGUCUGGGUAAUGGGCUGUGCAAGUCCUUCACCUCUGGGUUCAGUGUUCAUCCAGGCACUGGCCAGCAGUGAGGAAAUAAUGUUGCUGUGGAAAUAAAGGGCUUGCUGCUGCUCCAACAAGCCCUGUUCCUGCUGUGGCUCCUAGCAAGUGCUAUGGGAACCAAGAACUUGUUCUGGCAAGACUGUUGUUGCUCUGUUGAAAAUUACCAGGACAAAUGGCCCCAGUUAAAGCAGCUGACACUGGUGUGCACUUGUGACCUGGGCACACAGAUGUCUUCUCAUCUGUUUGGUGCCAGAUGAGGAAAUGUGUGUGCUCAAAAGAACUGAUGGGCUGGAUAUCAAAAAGCAGUAACCAGAUGAGUUGGCGAGGCAAGGAGUGAAUGGAAGAGUGUUCACAUGGGCAGAUCAAACCUUGUUGGUUGUAGCUGGGAGUCUGGAGAAUAAUCCAAGAUUCCAGCCAAGUCCUUGAUGGUCCUUUGGUGGGGAAAAAAAU
This is a long non-coding RNA of Neopsephotus bourkii (Bourke's parrot), 1118 nucleotides long. RefSeq lists it as uncharacterized. The transcript has 4 exons. NCBI's taxonomy places the organism in Eukaryota, Metazoa, Chordata, Aves, Psittaciformes, Psittacidae. The record is from RefSeq and is a predicted model, not a curated record.